UCUCUCAUGGCGCAAUCGGUGGCGCGUCCGACUGUUAACUCAGCAGAUCAUCGGAAGGUCGUAAGUUCGAUCCUUACUGAGAGAG
Ceratobasidium sp. AG-I is the source of this 85-nucleotide non-coding RNA. The record is from the annotation of a GenBank genome assembly. Lineage: Eukaryota; Fungi; Basidiomycota; Agaricomycetes; Cantharellales; Ceratobasidiaceae.